Molecule: ribosomal RNA, 458 nt
Filed under: uncultured bacterium
Lineage: Bacteria
Description: bacterial SSU rRNA
Rfam family: Bacterial small subunit ribosomal RNA
Source: RNAcentral
UACGGAAGGCAGCAGUGGGGAAUAUUGCACAAUGGGCGAAAGCCUGAUGCAGCUAUGCCGCGUGUAUGAAGAAGGCCUUAGGGUUGUAAAGUACUUUCAUCGGGGAGGAAAAAACAAAACUAAUAAUUUUAUUUCUUGACGUUACCCGAAAAAGAAGCACCGGCUAACUCCGUGCCAGCAGCCGCGGUAAUACGGAGGGUGCUAGCGUUAAUCAGAAUUACUGGGCGUAAAGAGCACGUAGGUGGUUUUUUUAAGUCAGAUGUGAAAUCCCUGGGCUUAACCUAGGAACUGCAUUUUGAAACUGAAAUACUAGAGUAUCGUAGAGGGAGGUAGAAUUCUAGGUGUAGCGGUGAAAUGCGUAGAUAUCUGGAGGAAUACCUGUGGCGAAAGCGGCCUCCUAAACGAAUACUGACACUGAGGUGCGAAAGCGUGGGGAGGCAAACAGGGAUUAGGAUACC